GAAACGACUGCUAAGACUGGAUAGGAAAAGUAAAGGCAUCUUUACUUUUUUAAAAGACCUUCUUUGAAGGUAUGCUUAAGGAGGGGCUUGCGACACAUUAGUUAGUUGGCAGGGUAAAGGCCUACCAAGACUAUGAUGUGUAGCUGGACUGAGAGGUUGAACAGCCACAUUGGGACUGAAACACGGCCCAAACUCCUACGGGGGGCAGCAGUAGGGAAUUUUCGGCAAUGGAGGAAACUCUGACCGAGCAACGCCGCGUGAACGGUGAAGUACCUCGGUAUGUAAAGUUCUUUUAUUAAGGAAGAAAAAAGAGUGGAAAAACUCCCUUGACAGUACUUAAUGAAUAAGCCCCGGCUAAUUAUGUGCCAGCAGCCGCGGUAAUACAUAAGGGGCGAGCGUUAUCCAGAAUUAUUGGGCGUAAAGGGUGCGUAGGCGGUUUAAUAAGUCUAUAGUUUAAUUUCAGUGCUUAACGCUGUUGUGCUAUAGAAACUGUUUUACUAGAGUGAGUUAGAGGCGAGCGGAAUUCCAUGUGUAGCGGUAAAAUGCGUAAAUAUAUGGAGGAACACCAGAGGCGUAGGCGGCUUGCUGGGACUUUACUGACGCUGAGGCACGAAAGCGCGGGGAGCAAACAGGAUUAGAUACCCUGGUAGUCCACGCCGUAAACGAUGAGUACUAAGUGUCGGGUAAAACCGGUACUGAAGUUAACACAUUAAGUACUCCGCCUGAGUAGUACGUACGCAAGUAUGAAACUUAAAGGAAUUGACGGGAUUCCGCACAAGCGGUGGAUCAUGUUGUUUAAUUCGAAGAUACACGAAAAACCUUACCAGGUCUUGACAUUUUCUUGCGAAGUUAUAGAAAUAUAAUGGAGGUUAUCAGGAAAACAGGUGGUGCAUGGUUGUCGUCAGCUCGUGUCGUGAGAUGUUAGGUUAAGUCCUAAAACGAGCGCAACCCUUGUCGUUAAUUGCCAGCAUGUAAUGAUGGGGACUUUAACGAGACUGCCAAUGAAAAAUUGGAGGAAGGUGGGGAUUACGUCAAAUCAUCAUGCCCCUUAUGAUCUGGGCUACAAACGUGAUACAAUGGUUGAUACAAAGAGUAGCUGAAACGCGAGUUAUUAGCCAAUCUCACAAAAUCAAUCUCAGUUCGGAUUGAAGUCUGCAACUCGACUUCAUGAAGUUGGAAUCGCUAGUAAUCGCGAAUCAGCAUGUCGCGGUGAAUACGUUCACGGGGUUUGUACACACCGCCCGUCA
This 1247-nucleotide ribosomal RNA is filed under the name Soybean X-disease phytoplasma. RNAcentral describes it as "bacterial SSU rRNA". It matches the Rfam family "Bacterial small subunit ribosomal RNA", at positions 153 to 1399 of the family's 1533-position model. Lineage: Bacteria; Bacillati; Mycoplasmatota; Mollicutes; Acholeplasmatales; Acholeplasmataceae. The record is from RNAcentral.